GACUGACGCUGAGGCACGAAAGCGUGGGGAUCGAACAGGAUUAGAUACCCUGGUAGUCCACGCAGUAAACGAUGAUAGCUAGCCGUUGGCCCGCUAGAGUGGCCAGUGGCCGAGCGAAAGCGAUAAGCUAUCCACCUGGGGAGUACGGCCGCAAGGCUGAAACUCAAAGGAAUUGACGGGGGCCCGCACAAGCGGAGGAACAUGUGGUUUAAUUCGAUGAUACGCGAGGAACCUUACCCGGGCUCGAACGGCAGAUGGAGGAAUCAGAGAUGGUUUCGCCCUUCGGGGCAUCUGUCGAGGUGCUGCAUGGUUGUCGUCAGCUCGUGCCGUGAGGUGUCGGCUUAAGUGCCAUAACGAGCGCAACCCUUGCGUCCAGUUGCCAGCGGGUGAAGCCGGGGACUCUGGACGGACUGCCACCGCAAGGUGUGAGGAGGGGGGGGGUGACGUCAAAUCAGCACGGCCCUUACGUCCGGGGCGACACACGUGUUACAAUGGCGGCUACAGAGGGGUGCUACCCAGCGAUGGGGAGCUGAUCCGUUAAAAGCCGCCUCAGUUCGGAUCGGAGCUUGCAACUCGGCUCCGUGAAGCUGGAUUCGCUAGU
This 601-nucleotide ribosomal RNA is filed under the name uncultured bacterium. RNAcentral describes it as "bacterial SSU rRNA". It matches the Rfam family "Bacterial small subunit ribosomal RNA", at positions 738 to 1339 of the family's 1533-position model. The record is from RNAcentral.